UAUAUGUUUAAAUGGAAAAGAAAUUGUAAA
RNAcentral lists this non-coding RNA (30 nucleotides) under Mus musculus (house mouse). The record is from RNAcentral. Lineage: Eukaryota; Metazoa; Chordata; Mammalia; Rodentia; Muridae.